GCCGGUGGUGGCGCGGACCGUCGUCCCGCCGUUUCCGCCGGUGGUACCGCCGUUCUGACUGGCGUAACCGGUG
RNAcentral lists this transfer RNA (73 nucleotides) under Paractinoplanes durhamensis. RNAcentral's name for it is "Actinoplanes durhamensis tRNA-Gly". The record is from RNAcentral. Lineage: Bacteria; Bacillati; Actinomycetota; Actinomycetes; Micromonosporales; Micromonosporaceae.